This is a long non-coding RNA of Equus asinus (donkey), 1617 nucleotides long. The record is from Ensembl. NCBI's taxonomy places the organism in Eukaryota, Metazoa, Chordata, Mammalia, Perissodactyla, Equidae.
UCUGGUGGUAGUGCUCCUUUAUUCAGAGAAUAGCAUGGGGACAGGACCCGUGGGCAGUGAAGGGCUGUAGGCAUGGGGACAGGACCCCUGGGCAGUGAAGGGCUGCAGGCAUGGGGACAGGACCCCUGGGCAGUGAAGGGCUGCAGGCAUGGGGACAGGACCCCUGGGCAGUGAAGGGCUGCAGGCAUGGGGACAGCACCCCAGGGCAGUGAAGGGCUGCAAUGUCUUGAGGGUAGGGCUAAUUUUAUAAGGCAUGGGUACGUGACUUAUUUUCUACUAGACAAAGGAAAGACGAUGUAAAAAAUCAUUAAAUGGUAUCAGUGCAGGUGGGGUCUGGUUAUUGCAUGGCCGUAUAACUUUAGACAUGAAUCGGGUCGUAUAGAUCUGCAUGUAGGCCAGGACGCCUUGGGCUUCUCUUCCUGGGGCAGCCUUGAUCCACAUCAAUAUAUAGGACACAGACACACACACAGUGGAAUGACCCAGCACACAUGGAGCGGAUUAUAUACAGGGCACACACACGGCAGAAUGUCCCGAUACACACAGAUCGGAUUAUUACAUGAGAGCAAAGAACAAAACAGUGAGGGAGUCGUGGUAAAUUCAAUGUCUCCUGGGGAGGGUGGUCUUAAACCCGGUGUUGGAGCAUGGACACACUAGGGGUGAGGCAAGAAGGAGCUCUGGGUGGGGAGCGUAAGGGGGUGGUGUGAGUAGAGGCAGCAGAAGUCCGAAGUGACCAACUGGGUGAGGAUCACAGGUGCUUACAUUUGGGAGGAACUGUAAACUGUCAUGGAUGCACAGCCCUUGGGUUCCCAGGAUGACAGUGCAAAGGGGAUGGCGAUGAGAGGGGCCUGUGGGGGCCAAGACCAGCAAGCUGAGGCCCCGUGGCAGGGAUGGCAGACGCCCAGCGAGGCGCUAGCUCCUGGAGAUCACUCACAGGGAGAACAGAAGCAAUUCUAGUGCCCCCAAGACAAGAGCAGGGCCCGGAGACCUGACCAGAAUGAAUCCUGGCUCAGCCCUUGAUGGAGUGAUUGGGCAGGAGACCCCGCCCGGUGUCUGCGCGUCCCCUUCCUUGAAACAGGGGUCCUGGGAGCGACGCUUCCAGGGCGCAGUGAGGGCUCCCGGGACGCGGGCAUUUAGCACAGCCCUGGGCCCGCCCUGGCUGCUCCACCCCUGAAGGCACCGGCCCCAGGAGAGUGCCCUGCCUCGCGGCGGCUCCUCCGAUCCUGGAAGCCCGUGCGGCCUCUGCCUUCGAGGGGACACUUCCGCGCGAAGCCCCGACCCCUCCAGGCUGAGGGCCGCGCCCAGGGAGAGGUCACCCCGGGGUCGUGGUCCGCGUCCAGGGACCGUCACCCCGGGGCGGGUAUCCGCGUCCAUGGGGCGGUCACCUCGGGGCUAGGGUCCGCAUCCAGGGGGUCGAGACCCCUUCUCGGAUGUCCGCCGCACCUCAGCAGGGACUGAAGAACAGAGGGACGUGGACGCCGUGUCGGAGGUCGGGGGUCCAGGCCGCCGCGCGCGGGAGGUGCGAGCAUCCUGUUUAGCGGGCGAAGGGUCGCUCGGCUCCUGACACCCCUUCCCGCGGACCCUCCGCGUCUCCCUGGCACCCAGCCUCGCCCCGCACCU